AGAUUGAACGCUGGCGGCAGGCCUAACACAUGCAAGUCGAACGGUAACAGGAAGCAGCUUGCUGCUUCGCUGACGAGUGGCGGACGGGUGAGUAAUGUCUGGGAAACUGCCCGAUGGAGGGGGAUAACUACUGGAAACGGUAGCUAAUACCGCAUAACGUCGCAAGACCAAAGAGGGGGACCUUCGGGCCUCUUGCCAUCGGAUGUGCCCAGAUGGGAUUAGCUUGUUGGUGAGGUAACGGCUCACCAAGGCGACGAUCCCUAGCUGGUCUGAGAGGAUGACCAGCCACACUGGAACUGAGACACGGUCCAGACUCCUACGGGAGGCAGCAGUGGGGAAUAUUGCACAAUGGGCGCAAGCCUGGUGCAGCCAUGCCGCGUGUAUGAAGAAGGCCUUCGGGUUGUAAAGUACUUUCAGCGGGGAGGAAGGGGAUGUGGUUAAUAACCGCAUUCAUUGACGUUACCCGCAGAA
This 471-nucleotide ribosomal RNA is filed under the name uncultured Enterobacteriaceae bacterium. Its description in RNAcentral is "bacterial SSU rRNA". It matches the Rfam family "Bacterial small subunit ribosomal RNA", at positions 26 to 486 of the family's 1533-position model. Lineage: Bacteria; Pseudomonadati; Pseudomonadota; Gammaproteobacteria; Enterobacterales; Enterobacteriaceae. The record is from RNAcentral.